This 253-nucleotide ribosomal RNA is filed under the name uncultured bacterium. RNAcentral's name for it is "partial 16S ribosomal RNA". It matches the Rfam family "Bacterial small subunit ribosomal RNA", at positions 524 to 776 of the family's 1533-position model. The record is from RNAcentral.
UACGGGGGGGGCAAGCGUUGUUCGGAUUCAUUGGGCGUAAAGGGUGCGUAGGCGGCGCGGUAAGUCGGGUGUGAAAUCUCGGAGCUUAACUCCGAAACUGCAUUCGAUACUGCCGUGCUUGAGGACUGGAGAGGAGACUGGAAUUUACGGUGUAGCGGUGAAAUGCGUAGAUAUCGUAAGGAAGACCAGUGGCGAAGGCAGGUCUCUGGACAGUUCCUGACGCUGAGACACGAAGGUCAGGGGAGCAAACGGG